This 232-nucleotide unclassified non-coding RNA is filed under the name Hevea brasiliensis (rubber tree). The record is from RNAcentral. Lineage: Eukaryota; Viridiplantae; Streptophyta; Magnoliopsida; Malpighiales; Euphorbiaceae.
AGGAUUCAAAGGUCAAGGAGGCGAUUGAGGAGAUUGCAGGGUUUUCAGUGAUGGUCAGGGUGUUGGGAUCCUAUGCUGCUGAUACUAAGAUCUAUGAUCUUUAUUAGCUUGCUCUAGGAUGUUUGAUGCAGUCAAGGACGGGCUUGUAUCUAUAUGUGAAUUAGAUUUAUAGCUUAGGCAAAUAUUGGUUGGUCUGAGUAUAUGAUUAAUAAGGUAAUCCGAAAUCUUAUUG